GCUCUCGUGGUUUAACGGAUAGAACACGGGCCUCCGGAGCUCGUGAUACAGGUUCGAUUCCUGUCGAGAGCA
This 72-nucleotide transfer RNA is filed under the name bacterium. RNAcentral's name for it is "tRNA-Arg". It matches the Rfam family "tRNA". Rfam says of the family: Transfer RNA (tRNA) molecules are approximately 80 nucleotides in length. The record is from RNAcentral.